Molecule: ribosomal RNA, 465 nt
Filed under: uncultured bacterium
Lineage: Bacteria
Description: partial 16S ribosomal RNA
Rfam family: Bacterial small subunit ribosomal RNA
Source: RNAcentral
GACGAACGCUGGCGGCGUGCUUAACACAUGCAAGUCGAACGGACAGGCCCCUUUGUGGGUACUCGAGCGGCGAACGGGUGCGUAACACUUAAGUAACCUGCCCCUGACUUCGGGAUAACUUCAGGAUACUGGAGCUAAUACCGAAUAGGAAUCAUUUCUGCAUCGUGGUGGUUGGAAAGCUUCGGCGGUUAUGGCUGGAUUGGCUGCUUAUCAGCUUGCUGGUGUGGCUGUGGCUUACCGAGGCGGUGUCGGGUAGCCGGCCUGAGAGGGCGACCGGCCACACUGGGACCGAGGGGAGGCAGAGACAGCUAAGCGAGGGAGCAGUGGGGAAGAUUGCAGGAUGGGCGGAAGCCUGAUGCAGCAACGCCGCGGGCGGGAUGACGGCCUUCGGGUUGUAGACCGCUUUCGGCAGGGGCGAAGCUCGUGGUGACGGUACCUGAAGAAGAAGCAACGGCUAACUACGUG